Non-coding RNA from Caerostris darwini, 100 nucleotides. Lineage: Eukaryota; Metazoa; Arthropoda; Arachnida; Araneae; Araneidae. The record is from the annotation of a GenBank genome assembly.
ACGGCCGUACCAUGCUGAAUAUACCGGUUCUCGUUAGAUCACCGAAGUCAAGCAUCAUUGGGCGCGGUCAGUACUUGGGUGGGUGACCACCUGGGAAAAC